GAACUUUACGAGAAAAUAAUCGUAAUAUUACGAGAAUAAAGUCAUAACUUUACAAGAAAAUGUCGUAAUAUAACGAGAUUAAAGUCGGAACUUUACGAGAAAAAAAGUCAUAAUAUUACGAGAAAAAAAGUCGGAAUAUUACAAGAAUAGUCAUAACUUUACGAGAAA
This is a long non-coding RNA of Sebastes umbrosus (honeycomb rockfish), 168 nucleotides long. RefSeq lists it as uncharacterized. The transcript has 3 exons. The record is from RefSeq and is a predicted model, not a curated record. Lineage: Eukaryota; Metazoa; Chordata; Actinopteri; Perciformes; Sebastidae.